Long non-coding RNA from Mustela erminea (ermine), 455 nucleotides. RefSeq lists it as uncharacterized. The record is from RefSeq and is a predicted model, not a curated record. The transcript is spliced from 3 exons. Lineage: Eukaryota; Metazoa; Chordata; Mammalia; Carnivora; Mustelidae.
CCCAGCAGGUGGGACCUGGGCUUGAAUAAUGUCACCAGCCUUUGCUCUGUUUUCCUACUGUCCUGAUUCAAGAAGCAAAGCUGGGCUCGGGCUUGUGAGAGUUCGGGGUGGGUGUGCUCUUUUCCAGGGAGGGUAGAGGGAACCGCUGGACCUGACAGGGCCCCCUGAGGUCAGAGAUGUUUAAACAGCGGUGGAAGGUUGAACUCGCUCCCCAGGCCAGCACAGCUCAUCUACUCCCCAUGGGCGGCAGGCUUUCUCCUUCAUGGCCAAACCGCCAGGAAAACCCAGCAAAGCUCCCGGACCUGCCCGGCCACCGAGAUUUAUGCACGCGAAGCACCCCCAUGCUUAAAGAAAAUGCGAGGCUGUAAAGAGAGUGCAUUGUUACGCACGCACAAAUUACGACUAGGAUCUCAAAGCUUCAUUUUUUCGGGAACAUAUCUUCUCGGAGCAUGUUA